Pelobates cultripes (western spadefoot toad) is the source of this 210-nucleotide non-coding RNA. The record is from the annotation of a GenBank genome assembly. NCBI's taxonomy places the organism in Eukaryota, Metazoa, Chordata, Amphibia, Anura, Pelobatidae.
CUACUAUAUCCCAGUCCCUCCGUCUACUAAAAACCCCUGCUUAAAAGAAAAACAAUUAAAAAAAACAAAACAAAAACAAAAAAACAGCCAACAAGCAGUGUCUGGAGUCCACACCUUAAAAAAGCAGAUCCUCCUGUUACUCCUUGAAACCCUCGCACACACACACUGACAGACACACAGGCUCACUGACAGACACACACAAACAUUGAC